Molecule: long non-coding RNA, 1226 nt
Organism: Quercus robur (English oak)
Lineage: Eukaryota; Viridiplantae; Streptophyta; Magnoliopsida; Fagales; Fagaceae
Exons: 3
Source: RefSeq, a predicted model, not a curated record
UUUGGGAUAAAUUCGGAUUUGGGAUAUUUAGGGGGCUAUUUUUCUUGAAAUAUUCUAGACCCACUUGGGUAUAUUUGGAUUCAAAUAGAUAUUUACUGAUUUUCUUGACGAAUCAGUGUUUAGCAUGUGUUAUAAUAUUAAUUGAAUGAUUAAUAUUCACCAUAUCCUAACACAGCAAGUUCCAGUUUUUUUAGUAUAAUUUUAAUAAACUUCAUUCACUGUGACAGUGGCAAUUUGCAGGUAAUCUUUCUUUUUCUAUUGUUUUACAUUAUGUCUUUGUCCUUUAAGUUGCGUUGGCAACCUUUUGUUUUCGACUUGCUUACGUUUUGCCUGCUUAGUUUUCUUUGGCAAGUAAGGUCAUAUGCAUAUUUUAGCUGUUAGCACUCAAUUAUGAUCAUAAUUUCUCACUCUGCUUUUGCAUUUUUGCUUGUCAUUGUGUGCUGUUCCACCAUGCUAUCUUCCUUAUUAAGUAAUGCAUUUUUGUUAAAUACAUUUCAAUCUCAUUAUUUCAACCAUGGAUAUUGUGUAAAUAUGGCAUGUUACAGGGGGACCGCACUUGGAAAGCGGGAGUUGUUGAUAGUGAAUACAUUUUUCAUAAGGGCAUACAAACUUUGGGUGGGAGUGGACUGCCUGCAAAAAAGGUUCAAAUAGGCCAGAAAAAAGGACUAUUGAUGAUGUGGUUAAGAAAGAUAUAGAAUAUUGGACAGCUGUUAUAUGGAUGAUGUGCUUAUUGAUGCACUCUUGCAUCAACAUCAUCUAGGUAAUAGAAAUGGUCCGAAUGCUAUGAUGUGUUUAAGAAUGGAUUGAGUGGUUUUGCUUGGAGUCCAAUCACCAAAAUGCAGAGUGCUGAAUCGGAAGCUUGGGAAAGUCUAAUCCAGGCUAAACCUAAAGCAAAAGAGCUUAAGAACAAACCAAUUCCAAACUACGACAAAUUGGUUUAGCUUUAUGGAAAAGAUAGAGCAACUGGGGAACAAUCUGAAAUUGCGUCGAAGAUGAGGCAACGGUGGGCUACUUCAACCGAAGAGGGCUCUAUGGAGAACAUUGAAGAUAUUGAUCAUUUAGAUGCUCAAAAUGAAGUUACUUUGGAGAGCUGUGAUAAUUUGGGUGAUAAUAAUGUGAGUGAAGCCUCCUUAAAAGCCAAAAAGAGAAAAACAUCAAAAAAUGAGGACAUGGAACAAAUUAUGGGGACAAUUCAGAAUGUUGCUUUAGCAAUGAGAGAAGGAAAU